RNAcentral lists this ribosomal RNA (429 nucleotides) under uncultured eukaryote. RNAcentral's name for it is "SSU rRNA". It matches the Rfam family "Eukaryotic small subunit ribosomal RNA", at positions 592 to 1018 of the family's 1831-position model. The record is from RNAcentral.
CAAUAGCGUAUAUUAAAGUUGUUGCAGUUAAAAAGCUCGUAGUUGGAUUUCUGGUAUGCUGCGCCUGGCCCGCCUCGUUUAGAGUGUGAGUGCCGGUGCGCGGUUACCAUCCUUCUAGAAAACGCGUCUGCCCUUCAUUGGGUUGGGCGCGCAAUCUAGAUCUUUUACUUUGAAAAAUUAGAGUGUUUAAAGCAGGCAAUUGUCUUUGAAUAGAUUAGCAUGGAAUAAUAAUUUAGGACUUCGGUUCUAUUUUGUUGGUUUCUAGUACUGAAGUAAUGAUUGAUAGGGAUAGUUGGGGGUGCUCGUAUUCAGCGGCCAGAGGUGAAAUUCUUGGAUUCGCUGAAGACGAACUUAUGCGAAAGCAUUCACCAAGGAUGUCUUCUUUAAUCAAGAACGAAAGUUGGGGGAUCGAAGACGAUCAGAUACCAU